CAUUCCGGGGAAGCCCCCAUGUGCUCACCGCUUGCCCACUCAUUGUGCACCCACUAGACGGGACGUGAGACCCUAUUCGGACCCUUUGACCCAGAUUAUGGCCUAUACUCGAGGACAGCGUACCGCCCCCAACCUUUCCAAAUGACCACGUCCUACCCGGGCGCCGGAUAGUCGAACAACCACCCCAUUACCGGAUGGUUCCGCUGCUGCCCAUCGGCCGGACUCUCCCGCUGGCCGGUGUGACCCUGACUCUGUGCCGGGUCUGAGGAUGCCCUCCGUCGUCACCCCUUAUAACGUGUUACCCGCUUUCGGACUACGUCGCUGCGGCGCACUCCCUACUGCCGGAAGCCCAACAUUUGGAGAAAGUCGUCCCUGCUUCGCUCUCACUGCCAUGGACGUCUUCUUCGUGGCCGGUUGAUGCACGGUCGUCGGCGCCAUUAUGCAUCCCACGCUCGCAACAGGCCUUAAUGACCCGCAUUUCUCGAGCAUCCGCCAAACAGCGCAGCAGGCACUUUUGAACCCCGAGUUGGGGUUCGAACGCCCGCUAUGCCCGUCUGAACUCAUGACGUCCCCUCUGACCUUAAGGACCACAUCGCCACUUUACGCGUCUAUAGUCCUCCUUGUGGCCACCGCUUCCGCCCAGAGACCCGUCAUUGACUGCGACUCCUCGCUUUCGCACCCAUCGCUUGUCCUAAUCUAUGGGACCAUCAGGUGCGGCAUUUGCCACCCGCGAUCCACACCCAAAGGAAGGUGCCCUAGGCACGGCAUCGAUUGCGUAAUUCGCGGGGCGGACCCCUCAUGCCGGCGUUCCGAUUUUGAGUUUCCUUAACUGCCCCCGGGCGUGUUCGCCGCCUCGUACACCUAAUUAAGCUACGUUGCGCUUCUUGGAAUGGACCCAAACUGUAUAUGGCCUUUCGGCAUCUCUAUGCCGGGGGGAACACCAGCCAUAUGUCCACCACGUACCGACAGCAGUCGAGCACAGCACUCUACAACCCAAUUCAGGGCGUUGCUCGCGUUGGGAACAGGACACAACGGUCGCGCAUUACCGCCCCUGAGCGUCCUCUGACGGCCCCAGUUGAGCCUCCUUCCACCCCUGCUGCAGUUCAGUAGUACGGGGAAUACAGGUCCCGAAGUGUGUACGAUGUUACCGGCCAUGUCUCCCGACGCUAUGGCACUCCACCUCGCUUAGGGAAUUUCGGCCAGAGUCAAGCCUAGCCCCAGACGUUGAGCUGGGGCACUUCAGCCUCAGCGAUCAUUAGCGUCUAGUCGUUGCGACGCCACUUAUGCAAGGGCCCGGAACAUGUGUGGCGGGCAGUGCAGUACUUUCAGCCAUUGUGGGCUUCGGCCACCGGAUUGGGA
RNAcentral lists this ribosomal RNA (1359 nucleotides) under Rhodococcus sp. DS201. Its description in RNAcentral is "partial 16S ribosomal RNA". Lineage: Bacteria; Bacillati; Actinomycetota; Actinomycetes; Mycobacteriales; Nocardiaceae. The record is from RNAcentral.